AUGGUUGCUAAUGUAUCACUGUGGUACACUUUUGGUGGAGGCUCCAAACUCAUCGUCAACACGGGUGUCGUGGUAAAGCCCUCCGUGUCUCUGCUCCCUCCGUCCCCUCUGCAGCUGUCUGAGGGAUCGGCCUCGCUGCUCUGCCUGCUGUCUGGCUACUCUCCACAGGGGGCGCUGGUGAGCUGGACAGUGGACGGCUCAGAGGUGAAGAACGGGGUUCUGACCAGCGCAGAAGAAGAGAAGAACAGCCGUUACAGCCGCAGCAGCACCCUGACCCUCAGCAAAGACCUCUGGGAAAAGGGGGAGGAGUUCAGCUGUAAGGUCUCCCAUAACAACAUCAAUCAUCCAGUCACGUUCAGAAAGAGUCAGUGUGAAGACUAG
Molecule: non-coding RNA, 381 nt
Organism: Clarias gariepinus (North African catfish)
Lineage: Eukaryota; Metazoa; Chordata; Actinopteri; Siluriformes; Clariidae
Source: the annotation of a RefSeq genome assembly